RNAcentral lists this non-coding RNA (76 nucleotides) under Nitrospinota bacterium. RNAcentral's name for it is "Nitrospira bacterium c-di-GMP sequence". It matches the Rfam family "c-di-GMP-I riboswitch aptamer". From Rfam's summary of the family: GEMM was predicted in a large-scale screen for bacterial structured RNA regulatory elements. Genes associated with GEMM are involved in a diverse array of functions, including chemotaxis regulation, signal transduction, secretion and chitin. The record is from RNAcentral. Lineage: Bacteria; Pseudomonadati; Nitrospinota.
AAUGAUAAAGCCAAACCUGUCGUGAGUCAGGGGCGGAAGGCCACAGGUCUUUAGGAAGAUAGCUGGGCUACGAUAA